UGGACACAUUAUUAUAUUCGACUGUAUUCACGGCAUGAAAUAGGGGAUUACACUGUUUUUAAAACAGAAAGUGAAUCAAUUAACAUAAUAGACUCCU
Molecule: microRNA precursor, 97 nt
Filed under: Nicotiana sylvestris (wood tobacco)
Lineage: Eukaryota; Viridiplantae; Streptophyta; Magnoliopsida; Solanales; Solanaceae
Description: MIR6152 microRNA precursor family
Rfam family: MIR6152 microRNA precursor family
Source: Rfam by way of RNAcentral